GCUAUGGUGGCUCAGUUGGUUGGAGCAUUUUCCCAUACACUGAAAUGUCAAGGGUUCAAUUCCCUGUCAGAGCA
RNAcentral lists this transfer RNA (74 nucleotides) under Myotis davidii. It matches the Rfam family "tRNA". Rfam says of the family: Transfer RNA (tRNA) molecules are approximately 80 nucleotides in length. Their secondary structure includes four short double-helical elements and three loops (D, anti-codon, and T loops). Further hydrogen bonds mediate the characteristic L-shaped molecular structure. tRNAs have two regions of fundamental functional importance: the anti-codon, which is responsible for specific mRNA codon recognition, and the 3' end, to which the tRNAs corresponding amino acid is attached (by aminoacyl-tRNA synthetases). tRNAs cope with the degeneracy of the genetic code in two manners: having more than one tRNA (with a specific anti-codon) for a particular amino acid; and 'wobble' base-pairing, i.e. permitting non-standard base-pairing at the 3rd anti-codon position. The record is from Rfam by way of RNAcentral. Lineage: Eukaryota; Metazoa; Chordata; Mammalia; Chiroptera; Vespertilionidae.